ACCUAAAGGCUGGGAUGCCGAGAGGAUCAUUACCUAGAGUUGCGGGCUUUGCCUGCCAUCUCUUACCCAUGUCUUUUGAGUACCUUCGUUUCCUCGGCGGGUUCGCCCGCCGAUUGGACAAAACUUAAACCCUUUGUAAUUGAAAUCAGCGUCUGAAAAAAACGUAAUAGUUACAACUUUCAACAACGGAUCUCUUGGUUCUGGCAUCGAUGAAGAACGCAGCGAAAUGCGAUAAGUAGUGUGAAUUGCAGAAUUCAGUGAAUCAUCGAAUCUUUGAACGCACAUUGCGCCCCUUGGUAUUCCAUGGGGCAUGCCUGUUCGAGCGUCAUUUGUACCUUCAAGCUUUGCUUGGUGUUGGGUGUUUGUCUCGCCUCUGCGCGCAGACUCGCCUCAAAACGAUUGGCAGCCGGCGUAUUGAUUUCGGAGCGCAGUACAUCUCGCGCUUUGCACUCACAACGACGACGUCCAAAAAGUACAUUUUUUACACUCUUGACCUCGGAUCAGGUAGGGAUACCCGCUGAACUUAAGCAUAUCAAUAAAGCGGAGG
This 547-nucleotide ribosomal RNA is filed under the name Stagonosporopsis cucurbitacearum. RNAcentral describes it as "eukaryotic LSU rRNA". The stretch from base 175 to 328 matches the Rfam family "5.8S ribosomal RNA". The record is from RNAcentral. Lineage: Eukaryota; Fungi; Ascomycota; Dothideomycetes; Pleosporales; Didymellaceae.